This 296-nucleotide long non-coding RNA is filed under the name Phoenix dactylifera (date palm). RNAcentral describes it as "long non-coding RNA (PDAC_LNC016052)". Lineage: Eukaryota; Viridiplantae; Streptophyta; Magnoliopsida; Arecales; Arecaceae. The record is from RNAcentral.
AGAGAGCUCGGUGGGGAAAAGAAGAACAGAGCAAUCCUUUGUUUUUGGGAAAGAAAAGAGUAAAAAAAUAUUUUAUGUUCUAACGGGAGGAAGAGGCUUUUUGUUUUAUUUUUUUAUGUUAUUUGCAAAAGAGAAGAAACAUUAGGUUUCCAAUCUCCACUUUUAUUUGUAAUGAAUUUUCUUUUAAGCAAAUCUAUCAUUUCUCUUUCAUGCAAUCCUUGUUCUAGGUUUAGUUAAAUUUCUGUUUUCUUUAUGCAAUCAUUUAAUUUUUCUUUUUAUGCAAUACAUUUAAUUUU